AUGAAAGAGGAGUAUGAGAAGGCUAUACGUGCCGACAAUAUUUCAUUGGCUGAAGGAAAACCUGCAUCUAAGGAAGAGGGAUCUGACAAGUCCAGUUCAAUUAGAUUAUCAAUACAGGAAGUCAGAAGAUGUAGUCUAAAAUGUUCGAUUGUAGGAAUUCCCAAAACCAUUUAUAACGAUAUUCCAAUGAUACUUUAUGAUACUUCUGGUGUUUUCAAGAGCAAAGGCACAAGUUAG
Molecule: non-coding RNA, 237 nt
Organism: Vicia faba (fava bean)
Lineage: Eukaryota; Viridiplantae; Streptophyta; Magnoliopsida; Fabales; Fabaceae
Source: the annotation of a GenBank genome assembly